Molecule: ribosomal RNA, 369 nt
Filed under: Triticum aestivum (bread wheat)
Lineage: Eukaryota; Viridiplantae; Streptophyta; Magnoliopsida; Poales; Poaceae
Description: partial small subunit ribosomal RNA
Source: RNAcentral
AUCGCUAACUACUCCAGUGUGAUGUGCGGGUUGCAGGUGCUUGAAACUAGAGACCAUCUCUUCUUUCACUGCCCUUUUGCUAGGAUAUGCUGGACUCACCUUUGCCCGUCAUGGACUCCAACAUAUAAUGGUAUUCAAGUAGAAAUAACCAACAUCAAGAAUCUGCUAGGAGUACCGUUUUUCCUGGAGAUGAUUAUCUUGGCGGCUUGGGCAAUCUGGACAACCAGUAAGGACUUCAUUUUCAAGAAUCGUGUACCAAGCCUAUACACCUGCCGAAAGAAGUUCAAAGAGGGAAUAAAAUGGUUCAUCUUCAGAGCCACCCGGAAGGAUUAUAUGCAUUUUGAAGACUGGGUCAACUCUUUUAGAUAG